This 70-nucleotide transfer RNA is filed under the name Desmognathus orestes (Blue Ridge dusky salamander). RNAcentral describes it as "tRNA-Ala". It matches the Rfam family "tRNA". Rfam says of the family: Transfer RNA (tRNA) molecules are approximately 80 nucleotides in length. Their secondary structure includes four short double-helical elements and three loops (D, anti-codon, and T loops). Further hydrogen bonds mediate the characteristic L-shaped molecular structure. tRNAs have two regions of fundamental functional importance: the anti-codon, which is responsible for specific mRNA codon recognition, and the 3' end, to which the tRNAs corresponding amino acid is attached (by aminoacyl-tRNA synthetases). tRNAs cope with the degeneracy of the genetic code in two manners: having more than one tRNA (with a specific anti-codon) for a particular amino acid; and 'wobble' base-pairing, i.e. permitting non-standard base-pairing at the 3rd anti-codon position. Lineage: Eukaryota; Metazoa; Chordata; Amphibia; Caudata; Plethodontidae. The record is from RNAcentral.
UAAGGUUUUAUCUUAAUUAAAGUGUCUGGGUUGCAUUCAGAAUAUGUAAGAUAAAAUCUUACAAAUCUUA